UAUCCAAAAGAAGGGAAUCCCUAUCGGAGACCCGAUUGUGGGCCUGAUGGCUGAACUAGUGGUUGAUAUAAAGAAGCUACUGUUUUACGUAUGUUCAUGCCCCACCUCAAAUUAUAUACACGAUACGUCAAUGACAUCUGUAUUAUAUGGGAAGACAAUGACUGUACAGAUAACAUGCAGUGCUCCGUUACAGAUGCUAGUCUUGGUUUGUCUACUAGAGUAGAGCAGCGAGUCACAGAUCAAUUCCACUUUCUGGAUAUACUCGCUCAAACAGAGAGAGAGGAAAAUACAUAAAUAUAUAUAUAGAAAGCCUACCUAUUUCCCAGUUGUAAUCCCAGCCUGAUCAGCUGAUCCCAUGCCAUACAAGCUGGCAGCCUUUAGAGCCAUGAUUGCAAGAGCCUUCAUCCACAUCACAAACAACAUGGGCAGACAAAGAGAAUGAACAUAAAUAUAUUCAUCAACUAGGGUACAAAUAUGACUACCCAUAUAAAGUGAUAGAGGGAAUAUGGAAGAAACAAAUAAGGUUAUGGCAAAGAA
RNAcentral lists this long non-coding RNA (537 nucleotides) under Androctonus crassicauda. Lineage: Eukaryota; Metazoa; Arthropoda; Arachnida; Scorpiones; Buthidae. The record is from RNAcentral.